Cyprinus carpio (common carp) is the source of this 1150-nucleotide long non-coding RNA. NCBI's taxonomy places the organism in Eukaryota, Metazoa, Chordata, Actinopteri, Cypriniformes, Cyprinidae. The record is from Ensembl.
UAUGACAGCUGAAAUAAAACUGUUCCAAUUAUCUGAUGUUGGGGAUUUGCAGUCUGUGGAGGCAGUUGUUGGGCCUCUAAAUGAGGGAAUUGUUUCUAUCUCUAACAUCUGCAUAUCUCUCUUGGAUGCGCAAGUUGAUAACACCACUGACACAUGCUCCAAUUACAAACAAAUCAGGGGACAUAUUGAGCACGCUGAGCGAUACCUGAAAAAAUCAGAGACAACCAUUAAAGAAAAACUGGGAUAUUUUGAUAAUCGGAUGGAGCGACUUACUAAAGAAAAGGGAAAUGUUGAGCAGCAGAAGAAGGAAAAAUGUAUGGCCAAAGAUAAAUUACAUAUUGAGAAGAAAUCAGCUGAAGAAUCAUUAAAGUCUUCUGAAGCAGCAUUAAAGCAGGCCCAAAAAAACGUCAAAUUAACAAAACAUACAUUAAAAAUAGAGAAAGACAGGAAGGAGACAGGUGGAUGGGUAACAGCCGCAGGAGUGGGUGUUACCCUGAUACCAGUUGCUGGAUGGAUUGCAGGUCCAGUAAUUGUCUAUAAUGGAGUAAGUACAAUAGUGGAUGCUUCAGAGGCUAUCAGGGAUGCUGAAGAUGAGCUAAAAAAUAAUGAGUGUCAGGUGAAUGAGAACAGCAUGAAAGUGUCUAAUUACCAAUGCAGGAUCUCUAAGAUACAGAAUGAGAUUGAAGAGACUGGUAAGGUGCUGAAUAAAAUUCAGAAGGAGACUGAAGAGGUGAAGCAGCAUCUAGAGGGCACAGCUGCGUUUCAAGAAGUGGUCAGAAGAGCUGUAAAUCUACUGAGUGUUCUUCGUGGAAGAGUCACUGUACUGGAGAGACAAACUCAACGUUCCAUCUCCUGGCAGCCUGUUACAAAUGCUAUGGAAGAUGUGGUGAAGGCAGCAGGAGAUAUUGCAGAGAAUAGGCUCCUCUACAGUCAAGGUGUAUCUGGCCUCAUAAAUACUUUGAGGGAGAAUAUUGGAGGAGUGCAGGCUUUAUGCAACUCACCCAUUAAUUCUGAAUAUGAUUGGUAUUACUGAACUAACUAAAGAAACAAAUGUUUAGUUGUUCACAGUUUUAAUGUGUAUUUUAUUAAAAAAAAAAUACAAAAAAAAUUCUACAAUAAAUAAAAAGUUAAUAUGGGGAAAUGUGGUAUU